AGUGAACGCUGGCGGUAGGCCUAACACAUGCAAGUCGAACGGCAGCAUAGUAAGAGCUUGCUCUUACGGGUGGCGAGUGGCGGACGGGUGAGGAAUACAUCGGCAUCUACUUUUUCGUGGGGGAUAACGUAGGGAAACUUACGCUACUACCUCAUACGACCUACGGGUGAAAGCAGGGGAUCUUCGGACCUUGCGCGAUUGAAUGAGCCGAUGUCGGAUUAGCUAGUUGGCGGGGUAAAGGCCCACCAAGGCGACGAUCCGUAGCUGGUCUGAGAGGAUGAUCAGCCACACUGGAACUGAGACACGGUCCAGACUCCUACGGGAGGCAGCAGUGGGGAAUAUUGGACAAUGGGCGCAAGCCUGAUCCAGCCAUACCGCGUGGGUGAAGAAGGCCUUCGGGUUGUAAAGCCCUUUUGUUGGGAAAGAAAAGCAGCAGGUUAAUACCCCGCUGUUCUGACGGUACCCAAAGAAUAAGCACCGGCUAACUUCGUG
Molecule: ribosomal RNA, 492 nt
Filed under: uncultured bacterium
Lineage: Bacteria
Description: partial 16S ribosomal RNA
Rfam family: Bacterial small subunit ribosomal RNA
Source: RNAcentral